RNAcentral lists this ribosomal RNA (422 nucleotides) under uncultured cyanobacterium. RNAcentral's name for it is "bacterial SSU rRNA". It matches the Rfam family "Bacterial small subunit ribosomal RNA", at positions 359 to 795 of the family's 1533-position model. The record is from RNAcentral. Lineage: Bacteria; Bacillati; Cyanobacteriota.
GAAUUUUCCGCAAUGGGCGAAAGCCUGACGGAGCAACGCCGCGUGAGGGAUGAAGGCCUCUGGGCUGUAAACCUCUUUUCUCAAGGAAGAAGACCUGACGGUACUUGAGGAAUAANCCNNCGGCUAAUUCCGUGCCAGCAGCCGCGGUAAUACGGGAGUGGCAAGCGUUAUCCGGAAUUAUUGGGCGUAAAGCGUCCGCAGGCGGCCUUGUAAGUCUGUUGUUAAAGCGUGGAGCUCAACUCCAUUUGAGCAAUGGAAACUACAAGGCUUGAGUGUGGUAGGGGCAGAGGGAAUUCCCGGUGUAGCGGUGAAAUGCGUAGAUAUCGGGAAGAACACCAGUGGCGAAGGCGCUCUGCUGGGCCAUAACUGACGCUCAUGGACGAAAGCCAGGGGAGCGAAAGGGAUUAGAUACCCCUGUAGUC